This 407-nucleotide ribosomal RNA is filed under the name uncultured bacterium. Its description in RNAcentral is "partial 16S ribosomal RNA". It matches the Rfam family "Bacterial small subunit ribosomal RNA", at positions 30 to 526 of the family's 1533-position model. The record is from RNAcentral.
AUUGAACGCUGGCGGCAGGCCUAACACAUGCAAGUCGAGCGGAGCGGCGGACGGGUGAGUAAUGCCUAGGAAUCUGCCUGGUAGUGGGGGAUAACGUCCGGAACCGGGGGCUAAUACCGCAUACUAUCAGAUGAGCCUAGGUCGGAGUAGCUAGUUGGUGGGGUAAAGGCCUACCAUGGCGACGAUCCGUCACUGGUCUGAGAGGAUGAUCAGUCACACUGGAACUGAGACACCGUCCAUACGCCUACGGGAGGCAGCAGUGGGGAAUAUUGGGCAAUGGUCGAAAGCCUGACCCAGCCAUGCCGCGUGUGUUAAGAAGGUCUUCGGUGUGUAAAGCACUUUAACUUGGUAUGCGUUACCAGCAGAAUAAGCACCGGCUAACUUCGUGCCAGCAGCCGCGGUAAUAC